Molecule: long non-coding RNA, 621 nt
Filed under: Elaeis guineensis (African oil palm)
Lineage: Eukaryota; Viridiplantae; Streptophyta; Magnoliopsida; Arecales; Arecaceae
Description: long non-coding RNA (EGUI_LNC081562)
Source: RNAcentral
CACACGAGAGAUUGUGAAAGAGAUUCAAGAGCUUUCAAAGAGAGGAUCUUUCAAGCCUAUUGUUCAACCUUGAUCUAGAGAUCUUCCAAAGCUUUAAAGAGAUCUUCAAUCAACAAUCAACCUCUUCUCAAGCAUUCGUUCAAGUGUUCAUCCACUUUGAGAAAAUCCGAAAAGGGUUUCUUCAUUUGAGUAAAGUUUUUAUUGUUAUAUUUGCUCAUUUAAAGGAGCUGUUAUUGUAUUAAUCUGUGCGCAAAAUUUUUCUAACUCUUUGUGAGUUUUUGUUCUUGUUUUUGGAGGAUUUCCAAAACAAGGAAAGGUUGAUCCGAACCUGAAAUCGGAGUGUUUUGGGUUUACUUGUACCCGGGAAACAAGUGAUCUAGCUUGGGAUAGCUAGUGUCGGAGUUUUCGAUGUUUUGUAUUCGGGUUGAAUACAAAGUAUAGUGGAUUGAAAUUCCCAAGUAGGAUCUUGGGGAGUGGAUGUAGGUGCAAGGUUAGCACCGAACUACUAUAAAUCCUUGUGUUUGUGGUGUGCUUUAUCACUUCACUUUAUUUCUUUAUUAUAUUCUUGCAUUCCUGCUUUAGGUAAUUAAUAUUGAAUUAAAGUCUUUGUUUUGUUCUUCA